This is a long non-coding RNA of Neopsephotus bourkii (Bourke's parrot), 467 nucleotides long. RefSeq lists it as uncharacterized. The transcript has 2 exons. NCBI's taxonomy places the organism in Eukaryota, Metazoa, Chordata, Aves, Psittaciformes, Psittacidae. The record is from RefSeq and is a predicted model, not a curated record.
UGGUGUCAUGGUUGGAUUACCAAGAAACCAGAGAGAAGGACUUGAAAAGCUUAUUGCUGUGUUUGGGAGAGGAGCAGCUGGCUGCUGCCUGCUCAUCAUCCCGCUUCCCUUCUUGAUCUUCAGCGCUCUGCAAAGCUGUCUGACUCACUGCUGGGGAGUGGGGAAGGGAAGCUGUGAGCUCAGGCAGCUUCAUUUUCAGAUUCUGAUCAGGACUCAGUUUAUCAGGAAGCCUCGAAGCCGAAUCUGGCCCGUGGGUGCAAACUGGGAAUGAUAACUGAUGGGCAUGUGCUCAUCUCGCAAGUCCUCCACACAUUGAGCCAGCUCUGCUGCAGGCUGCGACAGUCACCAGGAAUGCUAUUAAAGCAGCACAGCUCCUCUUUAAUUGGUGCCAAAGUGUUCUCAGUAAUGUGAAACGGGUCCUUACAAGGCUUUUAAGUAAAUACAUAACUGGAUGGAUUUGCACUUUA